UCUCUCCACUUCCUGUUAACAUUUCAAAUCCGGGAGCGAGUACAUCACUCACUCACUCAACGUUCCCGGCAAAGAUGGCCUCUCGUGAGGAAGAAAAUCACAUCAGAAAUCUGAACGAGUUGUCGAAACAAGCAAUUGAUGAAUGUGAAGAAUUGAUAAAAGAAAAUGAGAGAAUAAGAGAUGAGAAUGCAAAAUUGAUUGAAGAAAGAAAUAAUGCUAUUCAUCAACUGAAGGAGUUUCAUAGAGUUUCACAGUUGGUGAUUGAGGAAGUCAGUACUAUACAAAACCACCUUGACAUUGAGAAAAGUUGCCGUGAAAAUGCAGAAGUGUUUGCUUCGAAGCUGGAGAAAGACAACAAGUCUCUUAAAAGAAUCAGCAAUUUGUAUAUGGCCAAACUUGGAAAGGAGACCACCUCGCUAGACUUGUCUUUAGAUGAGGAUUCAGCAAUUGAUGUGACAAAUGCAACAUUGGACAAAGAUGCCAAAUGUUCCUCUGUUGACUGCCAACAUCAAAUCCAAGAACUUCAAAAUGAAUUGAUAUCAACACUUGAAGAGAAGAAGCAGUUAUCUUUUCAGUUGGAAAACCUGAAAGGUCAUUGGGAGGACCUAACUGAUAAACUACAGAAGGAAGAGCAGAGAAACAUUGAUCUGGCUGCAGAGAUUGAUAAGCAGAAUCAACUUCUAGCCAAGUACAACAAAGUUUCCAUUUUGGCCCUGGAGGAAUAUGAGGACCUGGAAAAAAGUCUGGAUCUGGAGAAGGAUCUCCGAAAGGAGGCAGAAACUUUUGCCCAUGAGAUGCUUUUGGAACAAAAGAAACUUAAAAGGCAAAGUCAAAUUCUUAUUCAGAAGAUGGUGCCUAAUGAGCAGUUGAUGAAAGCACUUGAUGACCUUGCUAUUGUCACAGAGACUAUAGAGGAGGAGCGAAUUCUGCAUGAGAAAAAGCUAAAGGAGAUGCAGGAACAAUUAGAUGAUUGCACCCUUAAGAAGGAAUUAAAUUCACUGAUGAAACAGCUUGAGCUUCUCAAAGAAGACAAAGAAGAACUCGAACUAAAAUGCCAAAACUAUUCCCAGCAAGUGAAAGAUCUGAAACACACCAUUGAUGAGCUACAGAAGCAGAUCCAACAAGCAGAAAAGUCAACGCUAUCACUGCCGCCGCCACCACCUCCUCCGCCACCUCCAAUGUCAUCACCCUCUUCAAGUCCACUCAAAAAUCUGAUGAAGAUCAUUUCUAAAGGACAGAAAACAUCCAAUUUGUCUGGUGUUGGAAAGGCCCUACCUGAAGAAGCAGGGAAACCUUUAGAAGAUCUGAAGAAACAGGCUGUUGAUGAAAUGAUGGAGAGAAUUAAGAAGGGUGUUCACCUUCGGAAAGUUGAUCAUACUAACAGGACUCGGCUGAAUAAGAAUGAACCUCCGGAAGAAAAUGCACUCCAAGAACUCAGAGGAAUGUUGAAAUCUAGUAAAGUUGGAACAUUGACAACAAUUACUCAGGUUGCUGAAGAAAACGAGCUGGAAAGAGUUCUUCGACACAGAAAGGCAGCAGCAGAAACUAAUGCUAGUGGCAAGAUCUCAAUAAACUCGGUUUAUAAUCCAUAGCUAAUGAUUCUUCAAGAGCAAUUGGCUACCGGGUGUUUUUUUUAUCCAAGCUGGACCAUUUUCUUCCACUUAUGGCACGAUCAAUUUUCAAACUGGUUCACUUUGGAGAAAGGCUGUUUCUGACCAGCUUUGUAACUGCUU
Molecule: RNA transcript, 1733 nt
Organism: Hemiscyllium ocellatum (epaulette shark)
Lineage: Eukaryota; Metazoa; Chordata; Chondrichthyes; Orectolobiformes; Hemiscylliidae
Gene: shtn1
Gene name: shootin 1
Exons: 16
Source: RefSeq, a predicted model, not a curated record